GUCCGAUUUCUAAUUUGAUCGCAUUUUUGAAAGUGUUUACCAUACAGCAGUCAAUGUAGGUUAGGUGGUGGGUUGGGUGCCCGCUAACAUGUUUAAUCCCGCCAUAUUCUGUAUGUGCCUGUCCAAAGCCAGGAGCGUGUAACUCAGUAGUUAUAUAUAUUUUUUUGUUCACUAUCUUUUGCAUAAAUUGGGCCGUUAGUUUUCUCGUAUGAAUUGUACUACAUUUCUCAUUUCGGUGUGUUUUAUAGCGGUGUGGGCUGUGUUCAUUGUUAAACUGGCCGUACGGUGACCUAUAGUUGUUUAUUUUUGUUUCGUUUUGUCUCUUGAGAAGACCACAUCAUCUUUUUGAUACAGAAAGCAAUCAAAAACAAUCAAUGGAUUAUAGGUUAAGCCUUUUGGCCUGAAUCUAAGAGGCGGGUCCUAGGGGAUCAUAGA
Molecule: long non-coding RNA, 435 nt
Filed under: Mytilus galloprovincialis (Mediterranean mussel)
Lineage: Eukaryota; Metazoa; Mollusca; Bivalvia; Mytilida; Mytilidae
Source: RNAcentral